CUAAGAAUAUUCCGCAAUGGACGAAAGUCUGACGGAGCGACGCCGCGUGGAUGAAGAAGGCCGCAAGGUUGUAAAAUCCUUUUGCUGGGGAAGAAUAAGCGCAGGAGGGAAUUCCUGCGUGAUGACAUGAACCGGCGAAUAAGCCCCGGCCAACUACGUGCCAGCAGCCGCGGUAACACGUAGGGGGCAAGCGUUGUUCGGAAUUACUGGGCGUAAAGGGCAUGUAGGCGGUUUAGUAAGCUUGGCGUGAAAGACCACGGCUUAACUGUGGGGUUGCGUUGAGAUCUGCUGAACUUUAGUUACGGAGAGGGAGCUAGAAUUCCUGGUGUAGGGGUGGAAUCUGUAGAGAUCAGGAAGAAUACCGAUUGCGAAGGCAAGCUGCUGGCCGAUAACUGACGCUGAGGUGCGAAAGUGUAGGGAUCAAACA
RNAcentral lists this ribosomal RNA (427 nucleotides) under uncultured prokaryote. Its description in RNAcentral is "bacterial SSU rRNA". It matches the Rfam family "Bacterial small subunit ribosomal RNA", at positions 355 to 774 of the family's 1533-position model. The record is from RNAcentral.